This is a long non-coding RNA of Triticum urartu, 1508 nucleotides long. RefSeq lists it as uncharacterized. The record is from RefSeq and is a predicted model, not a curated record. NCBI's taxonomy places the organism in Eukaryota, Viridiplantae, Streptophyta, Magnoliopsida, Poales, Poaceae.
GUGUUUGAUCUGUAGAGCGGCCAGAGGAGCAGGCCAACAUAACACCAACGUGGUGAGCUUCCCCUCUCCACCAUCUAUCCCAGAUCUGAACAUCAACUACAAUUUCGCAAGGAAGAUGAGCUUCCAAAGUACAUCAUACGCGGUAUGUACAUUCCUGUCCCGACGCCGUGCCCGACGCGCUGGACUGGAGGCAUAGCGGCGCCGUCACCAUGGUCAAGCACCAGGGCAAGCGUGGUGCCAUGGAAGGACUAAACAAGAUCACGACAGGCUCUCUUCUCAGCCUUCCUGAGUAGAAACUAAUCAGUUGUGACAUAUCCCACAAUGCUGGUUGUGGCGGGUAGGCUCAGGAACUAUGCUUAUAAGUUUGUGAUUAAUAAUGGUGGGAGUGACACGAAGGAUGACUACCCGUUUGGUGAAUCAGAUGAAACAUGCAACAAAAACAAACUGAAAAAGCAUGUGGUAACAAUUGAUGGCUACUGAAGCGACGUCCUGCCGGUGUACAUCAGGGACGCCUGCACCAACGAUGAUGCCUUCAAGGUGCUGUGGAAGUGAGGUCAGGGCAUGGGGAUCCGGGCAAGUGCGCCAAGGAGACCGACACGUCUUACCCGCUCAUGACCCAAGCAGUGAUUUUCCAUUGCCUCUAGAUGUAUCAUGGACCGUCGCCAGCCUUUGGUUUUAGACGUGAACGUGUAUGUACUAGUACUUCAUAUUGCUAUAUUUUGAUUUUGACGAAAUAACAUCACGUGGUACAAUCAAGAAAGUGGAAGGGGCGCAUCCUAUCUAGCACCGCCCCAGCUUCCUCUCAGGCGGCGCACCUGGAUGCGCCCCAACCACUAGUCUGUUAGCAAAGAGAGCGGUUUUGUAUAGCUGGAGCUCCACGGUACCCUCUAUCAGGGCCGCACAAUAAAGAAUUAUUUUCCUCGAGAUACGUUCACAUGUUUAAGAUGAGCAGCUCUGCCACUGGAAUCAAAGCCUAAUACUCUGCAGGGGACUGAAAAAGAUUCGAAUUUGAUGGGCCUAGUAGGCUACUGGACAAGACAUGGAGGGCCAAGACUCAGGAAAAACAAAAGGACAGGACAAGACCGGACGACUCCUCUGUACAAAGCAGCGAGCUCGCUUCUUUCAACAUGAAAAGAGGUGAAGACACCAAGGAGGCAGAGGAGCCCGUAAUGGUGAUAGGGGCAGCUGCCGAACAGACUUCAACUGUGGCGCCUCCGGAUCCAUCCGCAAUGACAUCCGUCUCCAUCUUCCUGGAUCAGAGUGAAAUAGGUGGAAACAACGAUGCCAGACUGUUCCUCAGCUACUGUCUAUGGCACAAGGUUGCAUAGGCCUCUCACACUCUCUCCCAGACUGUUCCUCUGACAACCGGUGCAUGCCACUCUUUUCUCUUCCUUUUUCUUUCUCUAUCGACCCGUGCAUGCAAUUCUCUCUCUCUUAAUUUUGUAAAAAAACUUUGAACAACGGCACUCUCUCUCUUUAAAACUUGCAUGCAGCAGACUCUCUCUUUA